RNAcentral lists this unclassified non-coding RNA (327 nucleotides) under soil metagenome. Its description in RNAcentral is "partial contains 5.8S ribosomal RNA, internal transcribed spacer 2, and large subunit ribosomal RNA". The stretch from base 1 to 120 matches the Rfam family "5.8S ribosomal RNA", at positions 35 to 154 of the family's 154-position model. The record is from RNAcentral.
GAUGAAGAACGUAGUGAAAUGCGAUAAGUAAUGUGAAUUGCAGAAUUCAGUGAAUCGUCGAAUCUUUGAACGCACAUUGCGCCCCUUGGUAUUCCGGGGGGCAUGCCUGUUCGAGCGUCAUUUCAACCCUCAAGCUCAGCUUGGUAUUGAGUCCAUGUCAGUAAUGGCAGGCUCUAAAAUCAGUGGCGGCGCCGCUGGGUCCUGAACGUAGUAAUAUCUCUCGUUACAGGUUCUCGGUGUGCUUCUGCCAAAACCCAAAUUUUCUAUGGUUGACCUCGGAUCAGGUAGGGAUACCCGCUGAACUUAAGCAUAUCAAUAAGCGGAGGA